This 546-nucleotide ribosomal RNA is filed under the name uncultured Glomeromycotina. RNAcentral's name for it is "SSU rRNA". It matches the Rfam family "Eukaryotic small subunit ribosomal RNA", at positions 548 to 1098 of the family's 1831-position model. The record is from RNAcentral. Lineage: Eukaryota; Fungi; Glomeromycota.
UUGGAGGGCAAGUCUGGUGCCAGCAGCCGCGGUAAUUCCAGCUCCAAUAGCGUAUAUUAAAGUUGUUGCAGUUAAAAAGCUCGUAGUUGAAUUUCGGGAUUAGUACGUUGGUCGUGCCUUCGGUACGUACUGGUGUUACUGAUUCCUACCUUCUGACGAACCAUCAUGUCAUUAAUUUGGUGUGGCGGGGAAUCAGGACUGUUACUUUGAAAAAAUUAGAGUGUUUAAAGCAGGCUCGCGCUUGAAUACAUUAGCAUGGAAUAAUGAAAUAGGACGUUGACCCUAUUUUGUUGGUUUCUAGGAUUGACGUAAUGAUUAAUAGGGAUAGUUGGGGGCAUUAGUAUUCAAUUGUCGGAGGUGAAAUUCUUGGAUUUAUUGAAGACUAACUACUGCGAAAGCAUUUGCCAAGGAUGUUUUCAUUAAUCAAGAACGAAAGUUAGGGGAUCGAAGACGAUCAGAUACCGUCGUAGUCUUAACCAUAAACUAUGCCGACUAGGGAUCGGAUGAUGUUAUUUUUAAUGACUCAUUCGGCGCCUUACGGGAAAC